This 1530-nucleotide ribosomal RNA is filed under the name bacterium NTL306. Its description in RNAcentral is "bacterial SSU rRNA". It matches the Rfam family "Bacterial small subunit ribosomal RNA". The record is from RNAcentral.
AGAGUUUGAUCAUGGCUCAGAUUGAACGCUGGCGGCAGGCUUAACACAUGCAAGUCGAGCGGAGAGAGGUAGCUUGCUACUGAUCUUAGCGGCGGACGGGUGAGUAAUGCUUAGGAAUCUGCCUAUUAGUGGGGGACAACAUUUCGAAAGGAAUGCUAAUACCGCAUACGUCCUACGGGAGAAAGCAGGGGAUCUUCGGACCUUGCGCUAAUAGAUGAGCCUAAGUCGGAUUAGCUAGUUGGUGGGGUAAAGGCCUACCAAGGCGACGAUCUGUAGCGGGUCUGAGAGGAUGAUCCGCCACACUGGGACUGAGACACGGCCCAGACUCCUACGGGAGGCAGCAGUGGGGAAUAUUGGACAAUGGGCGCAAGCCUGAUCCAGCCAUGCCGCGUGUGUGAAGAAGGCCUUAUGGUUGUAAAGCACUUUAAGCGAGGAGGAGGCUACUUUAGUUAAUACCUAGAGAUAGUGGACGUUACUCGCAGAAUAAGCACCGGCUAACUCUGUGCCAGCAGCCGCGGUAAUACAGAGGGUGCAAGCGUUAAUCGGAUUUACUGGGCGUAAAGCGCGCGUAGGCGGCUAAUUAAGUCAAAUGUGAAAUCCCCGAGCUUAACUUGGGAAUUGCAUUCGAUACUGGUUAGCUAGAGUGUGGGAGAGGAUGGUAGAAUUCCAGGUGUAGCGGUGAAAUGCGUAGAGAUCUGGAGGAAUACCGAUGGCGAAGGCAGCCAUCUGGCCUAACACUGACGCUGAGGUGCGAAAGCAUGGGGAGCAAACAGGAUUAGAUACCCUGGUAGUCCAUGCCGUAAACGAUGUCUACUAGCCGUUGGGGCCUUUGAGGCUUUAGUGGCACAGCUAACGCGAUAAGUAGACCGCCUGGGGAGUACGGUCGCAAGACUAAAACUCAAAUGAAUUGACGGGGGCCCGCACAAGCGGUGGAGCAUGUGGUUUAAUUCGAUGCAACGCGAAGAACCUUACCUGGCCUUGACAUAGUAAGAACUUUCCAGAGAUGGAUUGGUGCCUUCGGGAACUUACAUACAGGUGCUGCAUGGCUGUCGUCAGCUCGUGUCGUGAGAUGUUGGGUUAAGUCCCGCAACGAGCGCAACCCUUUUCCUUAUUUGCCAGCGAGUAAUGUCGGGAACUUUAAGGAUACUGCCAGUGACAAACUGGAGGAAGGCGGGGACGACGUCAAGUCAUCAUGGCCCUUACGGCCAGGGCUACACACGUGCUACAAUGGUCGGUACAAAGGGUUGCUACCUAGCGAUAGGAUGCUAAUCUCAAAAAGCCGAUCGUAGUCCGGAUUGGAGUCUGCAACUCGACUCCAUGAAGUCGGAAUCGCUAGUAAUCGCGGAUCAGAAUGCCGCGGUGAAUACGUUCCCGGGCCUUGUACACACCGCCCGUCACACCAUGGGAGUUUGUUGCACCAGGAGUAGCUAGCCUAACUGCAAAGAGGGCGGUUACCACGGUGUGGCCGAUGACUGGGGUGAAGUCGUAACAAGGUAGCCGUAGGGGAACCUGCGGCUGGAUCACCUCCUU